Molecule: ribosomal RNA, 355 nt
Filed under: uncultured fungus
Lineage: Eukaryota; Fungi
Description: LSU rRNA
Rfam family: Eukaryotic large subunit ribosomal RNA
Source: RNAcentral
AUAUUGGCGAGAGACCGAUAGCGAACAAGUACCGUGAGGGAAAGAUGAAAAGCACUUUGGAAAGAGAGUUAAACAGUACGUGAAAUUGUUGAAAGGGAAACGAUUGAAGUCAGUCAUGCUCGUAGGGAUUCAACCGGUUCUGCCGGCCUAUUUCCCUACUUGCAGGCCAGCAUCAGUUUUGACCGGUGGAAAAGGUUGGAGGGAAUGUGGCAUCCUCGGAUGUGUUAUAGCCCUCUUUCGCAUACAUCGGUUGGGACUGAGGAACACAGCACGCCUUUAUGGUCGGUCUUCGGACACGUACGUGCUUAGGAUGCUGGCAUAAUGGCUUUAAACGACCCGUCUUGAAACACGGACC